GGAAGUGUGCCAGAGUGGUUGAAUGGGCCGGUCUUGAAAACCGUUAGAGCAGAAAUGCUCUCGUGGGUUCGAAUCCCACCACUUCCU
RNAcentral lists this transfer RNA (87 nucleotides) under Gammaproteobacteria bacterium. RNAcentral's name for it is "tRNA-Ser". It matches the Rfam family "tRNA". From Rfam's summary of the family: Transfer RNA (tRNA) molecules are approximately 80 nucleotides in length. Their secondary structure includes four short double-helical elements and three loops (D, anti-codon, and T loops). Lineage: Bacteria; Pseudomonadati; Pseudomonadota; Gammaproteobacteria. The record is from RNAcentral.